CUAGGAUGUUAACCCCAUUUUGAAUGUUUUGAGUUUUAUUGAGUGAAAAUGUUCAUGGAGCUCUUAUGGGUUUUCAUGGAUAUUCUUCAUUGUUCUUGAUGUUCUUGCCAAGAACAAAAAGGUUUGGUAUUUUGAUUCAAAGUUUUGGUUAAUUUCAUAAAGUCUUUGUUUUGUGUUGGUUGAUGUGAAUUUUCUAUCAUCAAAACAUUUAUUUUGAAAGGUGAUAGAAAUGGUGAUGGGUGUGUAAGAAGUACUUCUCUUACACACCACUUGAGUACUUCUUACACACCACUUGCAUGGUUUUAUGAUUCACACCAACCAAAUUCCACUUGCAAGGCUUUAUGACAUUGUUGAAAAAUUUCCAAAUUUUUGUGGACUUAUCUCUUCUCUUUUUUCUCCCUAAAACCGGCCACCCUAUUAAAAUAGGGUAUUUUUGCGGCUUUUAUGCAAUUACAUAAAGUUUUGAUACUUUUGUGUAUUUUUAUUUUGACCCGAAAGUUUACGUUUUGACGUUAAGGCCUAAAAACGCUAAAGGACAAAUUGUUUUGCUCCUUUAAUGAAGUUUUUGAUUUGUUGAAAUUUUUGGGUUCUAGUUGUAAUUACAUGAAGUAUUGGACUAUUGUGUUUUUACAAAGUGACCCCAAAAGUUUGUGUUUUUGCAAUAUAGCCCAAAAGUUGUGGUAAUUGCAUUUUGGCCCAAAUUAGGUUGAGAACAAAAUGGUUUUGUCUCUUUAAAUGAGAAUUGGAUUUUCAUUUCAUUUAGCUUCAUUUAAAUCAAUUUUAUGGAUACAAAAACCAAAUGAAAAUGUUGCAUUCAAUUUAAUUAGUUAAAGUGUUAAUUAAUUAAAGGGUGAUUAUGAACCUAAGCCUACGAUAAUUGAGCUAUGUGAAAGGCCGUUUCAAAUUUGUUUGAACCAUGGGAAUGUGUAGAUAAGAUUUUGGUUGUAAUUUGAUUUGAUCAAAUGUUGUAAAAGGGCAUAAGCUCUUCUUUACUUUAAAGUAAUUUGUUUUAUUCAAAUGUUGUAAAGAGCAUAAGCUCUUCUUUACUUUGAAGUACUCAUUUUCUUGUUUUAUUUGAUAUGCAUGAAAAUGGAGUAGAGGGUCCAACACCCCUAAGACAACACGCCUUAAUGUGAUUAAACGCGUAACUAAAAUCAAUCACCAUCCCUAGACUGAGAUUCAACACUAGGCUCGUGUUGAAUCUAAACAAAGGUUCAUAGUCAUCCUAAGGCCCUAAGGCAACUAUAUAGUCCAUCAAAUGAAUGCAAAAUUUAUGUUAGUAGUAUCAUAUACUCUUGCUUUAAAAACCGUUUUAUAAGCAUAGUGGGAAUAUUAUAUACAACUAAAACAAUCAAAUGGACCAAUAGUUGUAAUAGGACCAAAAUUAUUUUAAUAAAGAUUAAAAUGAAUAUUAUUUGUGAUGAGACCUAAAAACCCUCAACCAAACCAUUAUUAAGUUGAUAAGCGUGAGAGUGCUUUGAACACUCUUUCGUGGCCUUCCACCGUGGUGGGCUUCAAUUGUUUGUGACUCAUACACCGUAUUCGUCCAGUUCUGGGGUUGCAAAGUAUGUGCUUACAUUCAGGAUGAGUCUAUAUGCAUACUUGAUGUUGUGAAAGGUAGGCAACGAGAAUGAUCAACAUCAUAUCAUUGUGAGAUUGUUCUUGAACUCCUACCCGAACUUGCCACUAAGUGUAAUGGAGCCAACAUCAUAUCAUUGUGAGGUAACAUUCUCUAGAGGCCAAAUAAGAUGGGUAC
RNAcentral lists this long non-coding RNA (1756 nucleotides) under Malus domestica (apple). RNAcentral describes it as "long non-coding RNA (MDOM_LNC008073)". Lineage: Eukaryota; Viridiplantae; Streptophyta; Magnoliopsida; Rosales; Rosaceae. The record is from RNAcentral.